This 401-nucleotide ribosomal RNA is filed under the name uncultured bacterium. RNAcentral's name for it is "bacterial SSU rRNA". It matches the Rfam family "Bacterial small subunit ribosomal RNA", at positions 359 to 775 of the family's 1533-position model. The record is from RNAcentral.
GAAUCUUGCGCAAUGGGCGAAAGCCUGACGCAGCAACGCCGCGUGCGGGAUGACGGCCUUCGUGGUUGUAAACCGCUUUCAGCAGGGACGAAAAUGACGGUACCUGCAGAAGAAGCCCCGGCUAACUACGUGCCAGCAGCCGCGGUAAUACGUAGGGGGCGAGCGUUGUCCGGAUUCAUUGGGCGUAAAGAGCUCGUAGGCGGUUCAGUAAGUCAGGUGUGAAAGCUCCGAGCUCAACUCGGAGAGGCCACUUGAUACUGCUGUGACUAGAAUCCAGUAGGGGAGCGUGGAAUUCCUGGUGUAGCGGUGAAAUGCGCAGAUAUCAGGAGGAACACCAGCGGCGAAGGCGGCGCUCUGGGCUGGAAUUGACGCUGAGGAGCGAAAGUGUGGGUAGCAAACAG